CACGUAGGGUGCGAGCGUUUGUCCGGAAUUAUUGGGCGUAAAGAGCUCGUAGGCGGUGUGUCGCGUCGGCCGUGAAAACCUGCAGCUUAACUGUGGGCUUGCGGUCGAUACGGGCAUCACUGGAGUUCGGCAGGGGAGACUGGAAUUCCUGGUGUAGCGGUGAAAUGCGCAGAUAUCAGGAAGAACACCCGUGGCUAAGGCGGCUCUCUAGUACGGUACUGACGCUGAGACGCGAAAGCGUGGGGAGCGAACGGG
Molecule: ribosomal RNA, 255 nt
Filed under: uncultured bacterium
Lineage: Bacteria
Description: partial 16S ribosomal RNA
Rfam family: Bacterial small subunit ribosomal RNA
Source: RNAcentral